AUCGUCUUGGUCCCAGACUUAUCAUUAUUAAGAGCUGAGAUUACACAUGCCAGCAUCCACCCCCCAGUGCAUCCGCCCAAAACAUUACCCAAUAAGCCUGGAGCAGGCAUCAGGCACGCAACCAGCAGCCCAAAACGCCCAGCUAGGCCACACCCACACGGAUUACAGCAGUGAUAAACCUUAAGCAAUGAGCUCACCAAGCUCGACUUAGCCCCAGCUCAUCCCGGGCCGGCAAACUUCGUGCCAGCCGCCGCGGCUAUACGAAAGGCCCAAAAUAAUGAACACCGGCGUAAAAAGUGACUAGAGACCUGCCAAACAAAGAAAUUAAAAUUGCACACCAGUCGUAAAACACACACCAUAGCAAGAACACUUACCAAUUUCCUACAAGGCCCCCUUGAACCCACGACAGCUAGGACACAAACUAGGAUUAGAUACCCUACUAUGCCUAGACAUUAACCCGACAUCAAACACUACCACGGUGUCCGCCAGAAAACUACAAGUGAAAAACUCAAAACUCAAAGGACUUGACGGUGUCCCAUAUCAACCUAGAGGAGCCUGUCCUAUAAUCGAUACUCCACGCUUCACCUUACCCCUUCUUGUAAGUCCAACCUAUAUACCGCCGUCGUCAGCCCACCUCGUAAGAGCCCCCACUGUGAGCCCCAAAGCCCCCCACUCUCACGCCAGGUCAAGGUGUAGUCCAUGAAGGGGCAGUGAUGGGCUACAUUUUCUAACCUAGAUUAUACCCACGCAUACAUGAAACAUCUGCCAAAAGGCGGAUUUAGCAGUAAGCACAGCAAGCACGCUCACCUGAACCCCGCCCUGGGACGCGCACACACCGCCCGUCACCCUCCUCACCACAUAAGAAAUCAUACAUAAACCACCAUAUUAAAACCAGAUGAGGAAAGUCGUAACAUGGUAAGCGUACCGGAAGGUGCGCUUGGUUAACA
This 947-nucleotide non-coding RNA is filed under the name Quedenfeldtia moerens. RNAcentral describes it as "12S ribosomal RNA". It matches the Rfam family "Bacterial small subunit ribosomal RNA". Lineage: Eukaryota; Metazoa; Chordata; Lepidosauria; Squamata; Sphaerodactylidae. The record is from RNAcentral.